RNAcentral lists this ribosomal RNA (897 nucleotides) under Kocuria sp. Its description in RNAcentral is "bacterial SSU rRNA". It matches the Rfam family "Bacterial small subunit ribosomal RNA", at positions 56 to 960 of the family's 1533-position model. Lineage: Bacteria; Bacillati; Actinomycetota; Actinomycetes; Micrococcales; Micrococcaceae. The record is from RNAcentral.
UGCAAGUCGAACGCUGAAGCACCAGCUUGCUGGUGUGGAUGAGUGGCGAACGGGUGAGUAAUACGUGAGUAACCUGCCCUUGACUCUGGGAUAAGCCCGGGAAACUGGGUCUAAUACUGGAUGCUACAUGUCACCGCAUGGUGGUGUGUGGAAAGGGUUUACUGGUCUUGGAUGGGCUCACGGCCUAUCAGCUUGUUGGUGAGGUAAUGGCUCACCAAGGCGACGACGGGUAGCCGGCCUGAGAGGGUGACCGGCCACACUGGGACUGAGACACGGCCCAGACUCCUACGGGAGGCAGCAGUGGGGAAUAUUGCACAAUGGGCGAAAGCCUGAUGCAGCGACGCCGCGUGAGGGAUGACGGCCUUCGGGUUGUAAACCUCUUUCAGCAGGGAAGAAGCCACAAGUGACGGUACCUGCAGAAGAAGCGCCGGCUAACUACGUGCCAGCAGCCGCGGUAAUACGUAGGGCGCAAGCGUUGUCCGGAAUUAUUGGGCGUAAAGAGCUCGUAGGCGGUUUGUCGCGUCUGCUGUGAAAGCCCGGGGCUUAACCCCGGGUGUGCAGUGGGUACGGGCAGACUAGAGUGCAGUAGGGGAGACUGGAAUUCCUGGUGUAGCGGUGGAAUGCGCAGAUAUCAGGAGGAACACCGAUGGCGAAGGCAGGUCUCUGGGCUGUUACUGACGCUGAGGAGCGAAAGCAUGGGGAGCGAACAGGAUUAGAUACCCUGGUAGUCCAUGCCGUAAACGUUGGGCACUAGGUGUGGGGGACAUUCCACGUUUUCCGCGCCGUAGCUAACGCAUUAAGUGCCCCGCCUGGGGAGUACGGCCGCAAGGCUAAAACUCAAAGGAAUUGACGGGGGCCCGCACAAGCGGCGGAGCAUGCGGAUUAAUUCGAUGCAAC